Molecule: ribosomal RNA, 826 nt
Filed under: Grapsus albolineatus
Lineage: Eukaryota; Metazoa; Arthropoda; Malacostraca; Decapoda; Grapsidae
Description: SSU rRNA
Rfam family: Eukaryotic small subunit ribosomal RNA
Source: RNAcentral
AAGGCGAAACCGCGAAUGGCUCAUUAAAUCAGCUAUGAUUCAUUGGAUCUGUACCCACACUUACUUGGAUAACUGUGGUAAUUCUAGAGCUAAUACAUGCACCACGUCUCUGACCGCAAGGGAAGAGCGCUUUUAUUAGUUCAAAACCGGUCGGGCCUCGGUCCGUCACCCCACCGUGUUGAAUCUGAAUAACUUGUCGCUGAGCGCACGGUCUCCGCACCGGCGCCGCCUCUUUCAAGUGUCUGCCUUAUCAGCUUUCGAUUGUAGGUUAUACGCCUACAAUGGCUAUAACGGGUAACGGGGAAUCAGGGUUCGAUUCCGGAGAGGGAGCCUGAGAAACGGCUACCACAUCUAAGGAAGGCAGCAGGCACGCAAAUUACCCACUCCCGGCACGGGGAGGUAGUGACGAAAAAUAACGAUGCGAGACUCAUCCGAGGCCUCGCAAUCGGAAUGAGUACACUUUAAAUCCUUUAACGAGGAUCUAUUGGAGGGCAAGUCUGGUGCCAGCAGCCGCGGUAAUUCCAGCUCCAAUAGCGUAUAUUAAAGUUGUUGCGGUUAAAAAGCUCGUAGUUGGAUUUCAGUUCUGGACUGACGGUUCACCGCCCGGUGCACACUGUCACGCUCCGAACAGCCACAACAGCCCGCUGGCUCGCACGGGGUGCUCUUCAUCGAGUGUCCCGCGUGGCCGGCAGAGUUUACUUUGAAAAAAAUUAGAGUGCUCAAAGCAGGCUACACUUACGGCCUGAAUGCCUAUGCAUGGAAAUAAUGGAAUAGGACCUCGGUUCUAUUUUUGUCGGUUUCUGAGCCGAGGUAAUGACUAAUAGGA